This 396-nucleotide long non-coding RNA is filed under the name Homo sapiens (human). RNAcentral describes it as "HSALNT0066262". Lineage: Eukaryota; Metazoa; Chordata; Mammalia; Primates; Hominidae. The record is from RNAcentral.
AGAUGAAUACGAGAGGCCCUGCUCAUCACUGCUAGACCGCCUGGGACUUUUCUUCACUGGCAUGGCCACCUGCAGCUGCUUCCAGAACCUGCCCUGUGGAUACUUGGAUUUUUCCCCUUUCCAUUUAAUGACCGUGAGCACCGUCUUAGCCCUCUUCAGCUCUUUCACCUUCGUUUCCUUCACAGCUUUGUACUGUACUAAAAUGACGUUGAUGUUGCCCCGAGAGGCCAUAUUUUCUAGGCCAGCCUUGAGCUCCAGGAGGGCUUGGGUUCCCUGGAGCACGUAGUUGGGGCUUAGAACAACCAGGAGGCGUCUGCUUUUCUGAAUGAAGCUCAAAGUCUCAUCUGUGACAACUGGGAAAGAAAACAACCAUGGGGAUUAGUGUUGGCCAAAAAC